RNAcentral lists this non-coding RNA (29 nucleotides) under Bombyx mori (domestic silkworm). Lineage: Eukaryota; Metazoa; Arthropoda; Insecta; Lepidoptera; Bombycidae. The record is from RNAcentral.
UGAAAAGGAAAUAAGGGUUUGAUGAUGGC